GACGAACGCUGGCGGCGUGCUUAACACAUGCAAGUCGAACGGAAAGGCCUGCUUUCCCUUGUGGAUUGCGGGUACUCGAGUGGCGAACGGGUGAGUAACACGUGAGUGAUCUGCCCCCAACUUGGGUAUAAGCCUGGGAAACUGGGUCUAAUUCCCGAUAGGACUGCAGGGUGGUGCCUGUGGUGGAAAACGAUUUUCUAGUGGUUGGGGAUGAGCUCGCGGCCUAUCAGCUUGUUGGUGGGGUAAUGGCCUACCAAGGCGGCGACGGGUAGCCGGCCUGAGAGGGUGGACGGCCACAUUGGGACUGAGAUACGGCCCAGACUCCUACGGGAGGCAGCAGUGGGGAAUAUUGCACGAUGGGCGGAGGCCUGAUGCAGCGACGCCGCGUGGGGGAUGACGGCCUUCGGGUUGUAAACUCCUUUCGACCGCGAGGAAGCCACCUGGUUGGAAGGGUGGUGACGGUAGUGGUAGAAGAAGCACCGGCUAACUACGUG
This 494-nucleotide ribosomal RNA is filed under the name uncultured bacterium. RNAcentral's name for it is "partial 16S ribosomal RNA". It matches the Rfam family "Bacterial small subunit ribosomal RNA", at positions 28 to 507 of the family's 1533-position model. The record is from RNAcentral.